This 493-nucleotide ribosomal RNA is filed under the name Phascolosoma scolops. RNAcentral's name for it is "partial 16S ribosomal RNA". It matches the Rfam family "Bacterial large subunit ribosomal RNA", at positions 1818 to 2598 of the family's 2925-position model. Lineage: Eukaryota; Metazoa; Annelida; Sipuncula; Phascolosomatiformes; Phascolosomatidae. The record is from RNAcentral.
GUCUUCUAGCCCACCAAAUUAGAAGUCGAACCUGCCCAGUGAAUUUAACAGUUUCAACGGCCGCGGUAACCUGACCGUGCUAAGGUAGCGUAAUCAAUUGCCCUUUAAUUGUGGGCCAGUAUGAAUGGUUUGACAAGAGCUUAACUGUCUCAGAAAGUCUAGUGAAAAUUAACUUUUAGGUGCAAAGGCCUAAAUACUAAUGAAAGACAAGAAGACCCUAUCGAGCUUUAGUUUAUAUUAUUGUAUAUAAUUUUAUAAACUUUUAUUGGGGCAAUAAAGGAGCAACUAAACCCUCCUUAAUAAAGCUAGAUACACUAAUUUAUAAACGACACAUUUUCAAAUGAUCUUUGGUACAAGCUACCGUAGGGAUAACAGACUUAUUUUCCUUGAGAGUUCGCAUUGACAGGAAAGUUUGGCACCUCGAUGUUGGCUUAAAAAAACAGUUAGAAGUAGCCCUCUAACCUUGUAGGUUUGUUCACCCUUUAAUUUUUUA